This 5999-nucleotide long non-coding RNA is filed under the name Equus caballus (horse). RNAcentral's name for it is "lncRNA (ENSECAG00000054083.1)". Lineage: Eukaryota; Metazoa; Chordata; Mammalia; Perissodactyla; Equidae. The record is from RNAcentral.
CAGCUACCGGGAUUUGUAACGAUCUGGGCCUGGCCAGCCCGGAUCCUCCCUUAUCCCACGAGAAGAACAGCACGUCUUACAGGGACACAGAGACCCUCCAUGUGAGCUACUGUCCUGGGAACGCUGGUCGUACCAAGGGAAGCCCUUUGGCAGGCAUGCAGCCUUUGUUCCUCUGCCUGCUUAAGCAAGCUUCUCUUAGGGGCCGGUUGCGGGUGCACACUUCUGUCCAGCCGGCCGCUACUGGACACGCAAGUGGAAAGGGAGUUUCAGCAUCAUUGAAUGACUUUCUUUUGGUCAUAGAAUUAAUAUGGAACAGAAAAACAGCUUAACGUCUCCUGACACCAAAGCCCAUGCUCAAUUCAUUAAUCCUUGUUGGAUCCAGACAGGAGAAGAGGGCUCAUUGCCAGCAUCGCGACAGCUUCCCUAACUGAUUUCAUGACACCUCUGAAAAAGGCAAAAUGCUGUGCUGCCACUUAAACAAAGCUAUGGCCAGACCGUGUGGUGAAGGCAAAGUCCAGGAUGUGAUGAGAGCCUUCUCUUCGGCCACUCCUUCGAGUCAAGUAUGUGCAGCCUUUUCUGGGAAGAGGAGGUGCAUAUCACACCUUUCCCACAGGUCCAUUGCCCACUUCCUCAGCGACCACACCAUUGCAUGACAGGCUGAAUUUAGCCGGUAAGAAGCCAGAUGUCCUGCGGCCAGAUGCUUCUUUAAAGGAAAAUUAAACCCUUUAAAAAGAGUGACCUGCAGUAGCUCCAACCUGCCGGCAGCGCCCCUUGGCUCAGGUCCCUCGCGCUCCUGGACUCACCUGGUGCUGAGGACCAGCGCCGGCAGCAGAGGCGGCAGGUACAGCGCCGGGCUGAACUGCAUGCUGUCGCCUGCCGGGGCCUCCUUCCCUCGCUGCCUCAAUCUCUUGCCUCCUCUGGAUUCGGUCACUUUUUGGUGCUCGGUUCUGUCCCAGGCCGGCGAUGAGUCCUCUCCAGGGCGGACAGACAAACGGACUAACCGACCGACGUCUCACAAAACCAGGAGCUGGGAGCGUGGAAUCAGCUCUAGGACUGAUGCCCCCUAGAGGCGAGCCCUGCCCAGGGUCGUCCGACGCCGCCGCUCCCGAGCCCGGAGGGCGCGUUGUCACUCGCGCUGGAGGCGGCGCGGGGAGAGGGAGGGGGCGCCCAGCGAGGGCCCCGCGCGCUCGGGUCACCGGGCUGCGCUCUGGUCCACAGCUGCACACCCGCCCGAGGCUGAUCAUUUAUCCUGCUUCUCCCGAGGUGAGCGGGACCCGGUCGAGGACAGAAAUCUAAUCCUCCAGUGUUGAACCGGCGUGCUCAGCAGGAGGUGAGAUGCCUGCCACAGCAUGGCUUGACUCACAGAACGAGAAAGACAAGCAUCGGAGUUGAGACCCAUGAAGGACGGCCCGAAUGUUUAGCCGGAAAUAGAUUUGCCCUCACACACAGGAAAGCCCAGCUUCCAGUGACCUCAAGUUUUGAUUGGACUAAGAUGAAUCAGGAUUUCAUGUGACUCUUCAAACUUAAAUCAGGUAUAUUAUCUCUGUAGUUCUCAAAUUAUCUCUCUAUAUUUUUCAUAUUUAAUGUUCAAUGCCAAAAGAGAGGACAAAAAAAAAUACCCAAACAAAUCAAACAAACCCACAGACUAUUCAGAUAAUGGAAUUACCGUGCAACCUUUAAAGUCACUAGGUCUGAGAGUUAAAAGAAAAUUUUAAAACACUGGAGAAUUAUGUCAGAUGACAGUAAACUAUUUAAAAAGAACCAACAUAAGAAGCAAAUCUUGAGAGCGCCAUGCCAUGAGAAGGCCACAGUACUUCGAGAGGCCACCUGGAGGUACCUCCACCAGCAGUCUGGGAGUUACCCCAACCCAAGGACAGCUGUGGCAGCAAGUGAAUCUUCACAUGACGAAGUCACGGUAGUCUUUGAUUCUCCUCAGGUGACAGCCCAGAGCCGAAAUAAACCAUCUCCAUUGUGUUGGAAUUCCCGGGCCACAGAAACUGUGAGACUAAAAGAAAGAAAAUUUUUUUAAGUUGUUUUAAACGACUGUGUUUUGGAGAAAUUUGUUCUGUGGCAAUAGUAACUAGAAUACUAUUAAACUUGAAGAUUAUUAUACCUAACAAUUUAACAACUUUAUCACCAGAAAGAGUCAUACCUGUGCACACAGAGACAUAUAAUAAUGGCCAUUGUAGUGUCUUCAUAAAAGUGAAAAAUAUAGAAAACAAAGGAUGCAGCAAUGGGAGAAUCGAUACCAAAUUGGUGGUACAUAUGUGCGAUAAUUUACCAUUAAUAGGAUCAUAAGAUAAAGCUCUAGGUGUCUGCAUGUUUCAACUUGGAAUAAAAAUGGCCAAGAAGAUGCAGCAGAAUUGGGUGGCACUGUAGUUUUCCUCAUUGGAUGACACCUUUUCUUUGGACUCCACUUUUUACUUCAGGGCAAUAAGGUUUUUGUUGGUUUGUUUGUUUCUAGAUGAUUAUGGCGAUAACUUUCAGCUUAAAAAUGUUCAUAACUCUAUAUUACAGUCUUAGCUCAACUCUGUACAGAACUCUAAACCAAUAUUAAUGUCUAUUUUCUACUUAUUCAACUUGAAAUUUACAAAUGUGUAUUCUUUAAGCAAGAAAAGAAGGACAACUCUAGAUAGACAUUCAAUAAAAAAAAAUCACUAAAAACAAAGUCUUUGUGAACUAACAGCAGACUGGCACAACCUUUGGCUUCCAGGCUUAUUGUGUCUGUGAAGUCCUGGAUCUUCAUUCAUUGUGCUCUUACUAAUUACACUGAGUUCAAGUCAAUCAAGUGCAAUCCCAUAGUGACCUCAGUGGUUACUGUUUUUUUUUUUUUUUUGAGGAAGACUGGCCCUGAGCUAACAUCUGUGUUCGUCUUCCUCUACUUUAUAUGUGGGACUCCUACCACAGCAUGGCUUGACCAACCGUGCCAUGUCCACACCCGGGAUCCGAACCGGUGAGCCCUGGGGCCACCGAAGCAGAACAUGCGCACUUAACUGCUGUGCCACUGGGCAGCCCCUCAGUGGUUGCUCUUAAUUGUGAACUUUGCAGAAGUACAUCUCCCACUGGAAAUGGAGAGGGUAGGGGCUGGCCCCGUGGCCAAGUGGUUAAGUUUGCGUGCUCUGCUUUGGCAGCUCAGGGUUUCACUGGUUCGGAUCCUGGGCACAGACACAGCCCCGCUCAUCAGGCUAUGCUGAGGUGGCGUCCCACAUAACAGAACCAGAGGGACCUACAACUGGGAUGCACAGCUGUGUACUGGGGGACUUUGGGGACAAGAAAGGGGAAAAAAGAAACGCCAACCUUUAAAAAAUAAAAAGGAAUGGAGAGGAUAAAAGGAUAUCUUAUUAUUAAAAUAACAAUAAUGUACUUUUCAGUGUAGAAAGUACAAGGACUAAGGGAAGAAGACGUUUUCUGUAGGACUUUCUUGUUUUUGUAACUAACCUACUUUUACUUGCAAUUGUUUGAUACUGGGUGCAAUUAACUAAUUUGAGUGUUAGAUCCUUCACAUUGGCAUCAGAAAACAAUAGCAGGCAGAGAAAGCUCCCCCAUGAAUGUAAUAUUCAGCUGCCAAACAUUUUGAAAGUCAGCUUUUAAAGUCGUAUCAACUAGAUAAAUUCGACUGACAGUAUUUUUUUUCCUUACACUUUAAAUUUCUCCUCUGGAAAAUAGCAAUUAGUGUUCUCGGGCAUCAUGACAUUAUCGACUCACUAAGUGUAGAUCUGGUGUACUAAAGUUCUAGGAAUGGCAGAAUUUGCUUUUCAUGUCUGACUGGACUCACAUAUUCCAAGAAAAUAAUAUCAGAAUUAAAAUAACGGUGCAUAAUAUUAAUAUGAAUUUGAAUGUAUUGAAUUUCCAAAAAUAUAGUGUCACACUCUAGGAGUCUUGGAAAGUGCAGAUGUUUGUGUCUAGAGCUUAAUCAUGUCUGAUCCAUCCUUGUUAUUCUUUUGGCUGGACUUGCUGUACAAAGAUAAUGUUCGUGAUGGGAUUGUUAAAAAGGAGAAGAAUUUUCCUAGCUGUUGUUGUCUAAAAAUGUAGCUAAUGCUUUCUUAUGUUUGAGGAAAAGCUCAAUAAUGACAAUCAUUGAUUGUGGACUACGAAGAGCUCUUGGUUGGAGGUCAAAGGAGUGUAUAUUGUUACUACAUAAACCCUGUGUCGCUUCUUUAUCUCUAAAAGGGAGAAAAAAUCAUGAUAGUUGACAGCUUCCUUCUGAAACUAUACUAUUUAUAAUUAAAAUCAAGAGUGCAAACAGAUUCUUUACAAGUUGUUGUUGUUGCUGUUUUUAAUUUGCAAAACUCUGCAAAACAGACAAGCUUUGUGUUUCUAUAUUUGCACAAAAUGUGUUAUGAGCCCCACGGUAAUGGUGUUGUUUAACCUAAUGUAAUGCUCUGCCAGUGAUGAGGACAAAGCCAUCUUAAUGGGGGUGGUAGUGAGAGUGGAUUUACGCGAAGGACAUCUCCAAUCAUUGCUGCUGUCCAUCAUCCGGGGAAGAGGUUCUGUUUCAUACCUAAUAACACACCUGAGGAAACAAAUCUGAAGCUUAGACGGGGACAGGGGUUGGGAAUUCAUUACAUGGGGGAAGCUUUUUCCUCCCCUGAGAUGACCCCAGAAUGGGAUAUGGCUAGUGAGCAAGAUAGCUGGGAUAAGAUCAUAAAUCUUUAUUAUAUCAAUAAUAAUAUGCUUCCUUGUGACACAUUGCAAUCUUUGGCAUCUCAUGAAAUAUUUCUGAUAGAUGCCAUUCCCACUAUGCCUCCUAAUGCUCACUAACCAGGGAAGUUAUGGAAAUGCAAAUUACAGAAAGAGCAUCAACGACAGUGUGAGCAGGGACUCAAAGUACACACCGCGAUGUCAACUCUCUUCCCUACCACAACGUUUCCCCCUUCCCCUCACAUAAAAACUGAAGACACUUAUAUAUAUACAUUUUUAUUUACUUUUAUAUUCAUAUAAUUUCCAUAAUCUGAACAUCGUUUCUUCAUUAAAGGAAAGAAUUAGACUAGUCAGUGAGUUCCAAACACUUAUUUUCAACAGAAGAAACCUUUAUUGAAUAAAUGCGUAUAUAGAAUCCCCAUGUAAAACAUAAAAGUAAAGUUGUUUUCUUUGAAUCAUAUGUGAAAGCAAUGAGGCUGGAUUUGUACCGUUAAAGAAACAGAAUCAGUAGCAAAAUCUAAUACAAACAAAAUCUCAUGUUCCAAGAAUUUCACAGGGAAAUUUUUCUGUAUGUUCGGGGAACAGAAGGCCCUAGUUUAUAGUCAGAUGAUAUGAAAGAAAGCAGGCUCUCAAACAUGUUUUAUGAAACUUAUAAACCAUUAUAUCAACUCGCCCCCUGAGAGAACGAUGCAAGAAAGUAAGAUUAUAGAUAAAUAACAUUUUGAGGUUAAAUGCAAAAAUCCUAACUAAAAUGCUAUAAACAGAAUUUUAUGGCCUUAUACACACAAGCACACACACAUACACAAAUUAUGGUUUAUCUAAAGAUCAAAAACUUUGAUAAAUAAAAUCUUGGUAAAAAUUAGGGAAAUGGUGAAACAGGUGCUCUUGAUAAGGUUUGUGUGUGUAUAAUUAGUAAAAUAACUAUGUAGGAGAAUUUGUCAACACAAAUUGCAAUUUCAAAUGCACUGCACACAGGCCUAAUGACCACGGCUAUCUGAUGAAUGUCCCUACAUGUGUGAACUCAAGUAACUAAGGAUAUUCAAUGCAAUGUGAUUGUAGUAGUGAAAAAUUGGAAGCCAUCUAAAUAUCAUCCAGUAGCAGUUGUCAAGUAAAUUAUGAAAAAUAUGUCUAAUGGAAUUUUAUACAAGAAAUACAGAUAUCUAUUCAGCUUCAGUGAACCACGUGCAAUUUCCCAAGCCCACUGGAACCCACAUAAGAUACCCUGUAACAUUCAAUUUAAGAACUUCAACUCCAACGUGGCAAAUCUUCCAAGCACGAUUAGCAUUAAUUAUUUAACAUGAUUAGUGUCUAUAGUAUGCUAUAAUUUUAAUGAGGCUGAGAUUGAGGCUAGGUUCAUU